AUCAGGUAGGGAUACCCGCUGAACUUAAGCAUAUCAAUAAGCGGAGGAAAAGAAACCAACAGGGAUUGCCUCAGUAACGGCGAGUGAAGCGGCAAGAGCUCAAAUUUGAAAGCUGGCUCCUUCGGGGUCCGCAUUGUAAUUUGCAGAGGAUGUUUCGGGAGCAGCCCCCAUCUAAGUGUCCUGGAACGGACCGUCAUAGAGGGUGAGAAUCCCGUAUGGGAUGGGGUGUCUGCGCCCAUGUGAAACUCCUUCGACGAGUCGAGUUGUUUGGGAAUGCAGCUCUAAAUGGGUGGUAAAUUUCAUCUAAAGCUAAAUAUUGGCCGGAGACCGAUAGCGCACAAGUAGAGUGAUCGAAAGAUGAAAAGCACUUUGAAAAGAGAGUUAAAAAGCACGUGAAAUUGUUGAAAGGGAAGCGCUUGCGAUCAGACUCGCCUUGGGGGUUCAGCCGGCAUUCGUGCCGGUGUACUUCCCCCAGGGCGGGCCAGCGUCGGUUUGGGUGGCUGGUCAAAGGCCCUUGGAAUGUAACGCCUCUCGGGGCGUCUUAUAGCCAAGGGUGCCAUGCAGCCUACCUGGACCGAGGAACGCGCUUCGGCUCGGACGCUGGCAUAAUGGUCGUAAGCGACC
RNAcentral lists this ribosomal RNA (624 nucleotides) under Penicillium thomii. RNAcentral's name for it is "eukaryotic LSU rRNA". It matches the Rfam family "Eukaryotic large subunit ribosomal RNA", at positions 10 to 649 of the family's 3401-position model. Lineage: Eukaryota; Fungi; Ascomycota; Eurotiomycetes; Eurotiales; Aspergillaceae. The record is from RNAcentral.